This 816-nucleotide ribosomal RNA is filed under the name uncultured bacterium. RNAcentral describes it as "bacterial SSU rRNA". It matches the Rfam family "Bacterial small subunit ribosomal RNA", at positions 62 to 835 of the family's 1533-position model. The record is from RNAcentral.
UCGAACGCGUCUCCGUUAAUGAUUUUAGGUGCUUGCAUUUGAAAGAUUAACAUUGAGACGAGUGGCGAACUGGUGAGUAACACGUGGGUAACCUGCCCUUGAAGUAGGGGAUAACACUUGGAAACAGGUGCUAAUACCGUAUAACAACCAAAACCACCUGGUUUUGGUUUAAAAGACGGCUUCGGCUGUCACUUUAGGAUGGACCCGCGGCGUAUUAGCUUGUUGGUAAGGUAACGGCCUACCAAGGCGAUGAUACGUAGCCGACCUGAGAGGGUAAUCGGCCACAUUGGGACUGAGACACGGCCCAAACUCCUACGGGAGGCAGCAGUAGGGAAUCUUCCACAAUGGACGAAAGUCUGGUGGAGCAACGCCGCGUGAGUGAUGAAGGGUUUCGGCUCGUAAAACUCUGUUGUUGGAGAAGAACAGGUGUCAGAGUAACUGUUGACAUCUUGACGGUAUCCAACCAGAAAGCCACGGCUAACUACGUGCCAGCAGCCGCGGUAAUACGUAGGUGGCAAGCGUUGUCCGGAUUUAUUGGGCGUAAAGCGAGCGCAGGCGGUUUUUUAGGUCUGAUGUGAAAGCCUUCGGCUUAACCGGAGAAGUGCAUCGGAAACCGGGAGACUUGAGUGCAGAAGAGGACAGUGGAACUCCAUGUGUAGCGGUGAAAUGCGUAGAUAUAUGGAAGAACACCAGUGGCGAAGGCGGCUGUCUGGUCUGUAACUGACGCUGAGGCUCGAAAGCAUGGGUAGCGAACAGGAUUAGAUACCCUGGUAGUCCAUGCCGUAAACGAUGAGUGCUAAGUGUUGGAGGGUUUCC